CCUGGACGCUGCCCUUUCUAUCCUGCGGUCGAGAAACCACCUUGUGAAAAGCGCUGUGCAAGUGAUUCCAAGUGCCCAGGUCCAAAGAAGUGCUGUCCAGUCAUGUGCUCGAUGAAAUGCGUAAAUCCAGAUCUAUCAUAGUGAUGCGGAGCCUGAAAUCCCCAAAGCAUGAACCGUCUUCAGUUUGGAGAUCUAAACCGGGACCCAACAUGUGAAGGCCACCUCCACACAUAACACAUGGGCCGGAUCCAGCACAACUCCCUCUCCACAAUAAAGUUAUCCACACUU
This is a long non-coding RNA of Elgaria multicarinata webbii, 288 nucleotides long. RefSeq lists it as uncharacterized. The transcript is spliced from 2 exons. NCBI's taxonomy places the organism in Eukaryota, Metazoa, Chordata, Lepidosauria, Squamata, Anguidae. The record is from RefSeq and is a predicted model, not a curated record.